RNAcentral lists this long non-coding RNA (307 nucleotides) under Homo sapiens (human). RNAcentral's name for it is "non-protein coding lnc-CAPS-2:4". Lineage: Eukaryota; Metazoa; Chordata; Mammalia; Primates; Hominidae. The record is from RNAcentral.
CGGCACCGCGCGGCCCGAGGCGGGUCUUGAAGCACUCGUUUUCCCACUCGUUUUCCGGGGUUCCCCCGCGGUGGGACAGUGAGCAGUUCAGGGCGCCGCAGCCGAGGCCUUCCUCCAGAAAAAGUUUGCCAGUUCCUAAUCCAGGACACAUGUAUUUACAUGGUUGUUAAACUUUUCUGAACAGCCAGUGGGAUGUGGUAAAUAUUUAACAGCAGCUUCUCUGGAAGAGAAUGUAUUCGUUAGUAUGUAUUUAUGUGUGUGUAUAUAGUUUAUUGUAAAUUUUACUUAUUUUUCUAUCACUUUCUUA